Molecule: long non-coding RNA, 90 nt
Organism: Alosa sapidissima (American shad)
Lineage: Eukaryota; Metazoa; Chordata; Actinopteri; Clupeiformes; Clupeidae
Exons: 3
Source: RefSeq, a predicted model, not a curated record
AUUUUGUAAAAUCUAAAAAUUCAUCAGAAGAGGUAUUAGUGCCAAAACCUUUCUGAAUUCUUCACUUUCUGCUGACGAAAAAACUAAUGU